GUGCUAUACAUGCAGUCGAGCGAACGGACGAGAAGCUUGCUUCUCUGAUGUUAGCGGCGGACGGGUGAGUAACACGUGGAUAACCUACCUAUAAGACUGGGAUAACUUCGGGAAACCGGAGCUAAUACCGGAUAAUAUUUUGAACCGCAUGGUUCAAAAGUGAAAGACGGUCUUGCUGUCACUUAUAGAUGGAUCCGCGCUGCAUUAGCUAGUUGGUAAGGUAACGGCUUACCAAGGCAACGAUGCAUAGCCGACCUGAGAGGGUGAUCGGCCACACUGGAACUGAGACAGGGUCCAGACUCCUACGGGAGGCAGCAGUAGGGAAUCUUCCGCAAUGGGCGAAAGCCUGACGGAGCAACGCCGCGUGAGUGAUGAAGGUCUUCGGAUCGUAAAACUCUGUUAUUAGGGAAGAACAUAUGUGUAAGUAACUGUGCACAUCUUGACGGUACCUAAUCAGAAAGCCACGGCUAACUACGUGCCAGCAGCCGCGGUAAUACGUAGGUGGCAAGCGUUAUCCGGAAUUAUUGGGCGUAAAGCGCGCGUAGGCGGUUUUUUAAGUCUGAUGUGAAAGCCCACGGCUCAACCGUGCAGGGUCAUUGGAAACUGGAAAACUUGAGUGCAGAAGAGGAAAGUGGAAUUCCAUGUGUAGCGGUGAAAUGCGCAGAGAUAUGGAGGAACACCAGUGGCGAAGGCGACUUUCUGGUCUGUAACUGACGCUGAUGUGCGAAAGCGUGGGGAUCAAACAGGAUUAGAUACCCUGGUAGUCCACGCCGUACACGAUGAGUGCUAAGUGUUAGG
RNAcentral lists this ribosomal RNA (798 nucleotides) under Staphylococcus aureus. RNAcentral describes it as "bacterial SSU rRNA". It matches the Rfam family "Bacterial small subunit ribosomal RNA", at positions 44 to 827 of the family's 1533-position model. The record is from RNAcentral. Lineage: Bacteria; Bacillati; Bacillota; Bacilli; Caryophanales; Staphylococcaceae.